UCUGCCGGAGGCCAUCGCGGACGAGCUAGCGCGGUUAGCGGUCGCGUGGUGACGGGUCGUGACCGUCCAGCCGAC
RNAcentral lists this transfer RNA (75 nucleotides) under Phytohabitans flavus. RNAcentral describes it as "tRNA-Ala". The record is from RNAcentral. Lineage: Bacteria; Bacillati; Actinomycetota; Actinomycetes; Micromonosporales; Micromonosporaceae.